GAAAUGUAAAGCCAUAGAAGGGAGCUGCUAACUCUCUUUAUAGCAGUUAAAUUCUGUUAACAUUUCU
This 67-nucleotide transfer RNA is filed under the name Potamanthus sp. MT-2014. RNAcentral describes it as "tRNA-Ser". RNAcentral also lists the same sequence under 1 other name. Lineage: Eukaryota; Metazoa; Arthropoda; Insecta; Ephemeroptera; Potamanthidae. The record is from RNAcentral.